UUUAAUUUUUUUUCUAAACAUGGUAAACCGGUGUGUUUUGUGCUUCGCCACCGUCGCCGACGGUGUCAGUUUACACAAGUAUCCGAGGGAUGCCCAAAGGGCCGAUUCCUGGCUACAGUUUGUCGUGGCUUGCGGCCGUAAUCCGUCGGACGUAAACGUACGCAAUGCGUUUUUGUGUUACCGGCAUUUUCUGCCCAGCGACUACGGUAGCAGUACUGUGCGCAGGGUGCUCAACCGGAACGCCGUAACGUCUGUCAGUAUCACGGAGCAACAUGAUGAGGCCGACAUUGAAAUUGUUCGCGUGGUGGACAUUGAUGUUGGUGAUGCUGGACCAUUCGGAGGAAAUGUCGUCGCUGGCGGUGUUGGUGCCAGUGGAAACGAUUUG
This is a long non-coding RNA of Daktulosphaira vitifoliae (grape phylloxera), 385 nucleotides long. RefSeq lists it as uncharacterized. The transcript has 4 exons. The record is from RefSeq and is a predicted model, not a curated record. NCBI's taxonomy places the organism in Eukaryota, Metazoa, Arthropoda, Insecta, Hemiptera, Phylloxeridae.